This 70-nucleotide transfer RNA is filed under the name Cryptocelis alba. Its description in RNAcentral is "tRNA-Trp". It matches the Rfam family "tRNA". From Rfam's summary of the family: Transfer RNA (tRNA) molecules are approximately 80 nucleotides in length. Lineage: Eukaryota; Metazoa; Platyhelminthes; Polycladida; Cryptocelidae. The record is from RNAcentral.
AGACUUUUAGGUUAAUUUAGAUCAUUAGCCUUCAAAGCUAGGGGAGAGAAACUGGAAUUCUCAGAGUCUG